GCAUAUCAAUAAGCGGAGGAAAAGAAAAUAACAAUGAUUCCCCUAGUAACUGCGAGUGAAGAGGGACAAGCUCAAAUUUUAAAUCUGUCGGGUUCUACCUGACCGAGUUGUAAUUUGAAGAGGCGUUUUCUGUGUUUCUGAUCGGUCCAAGUCCUUUGGGAUAAGGCAUCACGGAGGGUGAGAAUCCCGUUCGGUUGAUCAGAUUCGCUUUACGAUACGCCUUCAAAGAGUCAAGUUGUUUGGGAUUGCAGCUUAAAAUGGGAGGUAAAUUUCUCCUAAGGCUAAAUAACGGCGAGAGACCGAUAGCGAACAAGUACCGUGAGGGAAAGAUGAAAAGAACUUUGAAAAGAGAGUUAAAUAGUACGUGAAAUUGUUGAAAGGGAAACGAUUGAAGCCAGUCGUACCUGCGGGUAAUCAGCCUUUUGGGCAUGAUUCUGUGGAGCGUGAGGAGUUAAACGCCUUCAUGCCUGCAUAUUCGUGCUCUUGGGUGUACUUGCUCGUGUGGUUGGUUAACAUCAAUUUCGGAUAUCAUAAAAUGGCUGGAGGAAUGUAGCUUCGAUUUCGAUUGAAGUGUUAUAGCCUUCGGCAGAUGUGAUGAUCGGGAUUGAGGAUUGCAACGGAUACCCUUCGGGGCUACCUGUCUGAUCUCUGAUCGUUGCUCUGGUGCCGAAAGCUUGCUUACGGUUAUCAAAGUCGAUGGUCAACAGGUUAGAACGGGUUAAAUUCGUUAAGGAUGUUGACGUA
Molecule: ribosomal RNA, 744 nt
Filed under: uncultured Glomeromycotina
Lineage: Eukaryota; Fungi; Glomeromycota
Description: eukaryotic LSU rRNA
Rfam family: Eukaryotic large subunit ribosomal RNA
Source: RNAcentral